This 27-nucleotide non-coding RNA is filed under the name Mus musculus (house mouse). The record is from RNAcentral. Lineage: Eukaryota; Metazoa; Chordata; Mammalia; Rodentia; Muridae.
CACGAUGACAGUGGGUGUCUGCGGACA